AUGAGAACUAAUGCACUUAUCCAGUCUACUACAUCAAGGAUAAGCCUUCCCGUGAACUAUCACAACACACUUUCUCAUAUGCCCUUUGUAUCACCUGUGUGUGUAGUUCAUUGGUUGUACAGGGAUCAGUCACUCAUGAAGAAGGGAAACCAGAGCUAGUUAUACUGAUGACGUCGUGCUAAAUAUACAGCCUCGUGUCUGUUCGAUCCUCCAGUGCGAGGAGGUUCGUCAGUCACAACAGUCACACAUCUCAGGCAGACUCUACAGGCAACGACGAGUUAUCUCCCUUAGGUACACCCAGGGGAAUGUCGGCUGAUCCAGUCAAACAUGGAUACCGUACAAGAACCCAUCAUGCCUCUCACCAGAAGUAUGGGAAGUGUCGGUCAUGUGGGCAGAAGGACAUUUGUCUGGUGUUUCUUCCCUGUGGACACGUGGUGUGUUGUGAUGUCUGCGGGGCAUCCGUGAGCAGUUGUGUGGUGUGUGACCGACCCAUUAGAGGGAGUAUCAGGACCUACUGAGGUCACUGACCCCCUAACACGGUGCCUGCAUGGAACUGGGAUAAAACUACAACCAUCUAUACCUGUGUAGAUCGUGUCACUUACUGAUCACACGAAAACACGUACCUUAUGACUUGCGAAGCUGUUAAAAAAAUUAUGUCCUGAACAUCUGGAUGCUGUUUUUUUUUUUAUUGUGAAAUUAUCGUUUGGCUUACUAGUUCCUGGCCGAAAGCCAACCCCCAACCUAUGAAGCGCAUGAAGGAUAUAUGUUUCUUAAAAUCCACACAUUCAAAAUAGCACAAAACGAUCAAACGUUUCGUGCAAAUUUGAUUCAUUCUGGUUUAAGCUUUAUCGCGUUCUGUACUUCUUCCAUUUGAAAAACCCUCUUCUUCCUCCGCAAAUAAAUAUAUUGUGUUUGUAA
Molecule: long non-coding RNA, 918 nt
Organism: Haliotis rubra (blacklip abalone)
Lineage: Eukaryota; Metazoa; Mollusca; Gastropoda; Lepetellida; Haliotidae
Exons: 2
Source: RefSeq, a predicted model, not a curated record